AUACUACUUCCUCCGUCCCAAAAUUCUUGUCUUAGAUUCGUCUAGAUACGGAUGUAUCUAAUAAAACGUGACUUGAUACAUCCGUAUCUAGACGAAUCUAAGACAAGAAUUUUAGGACGGAGGGAGUAUUUU
Triticum aestivum (bread wheat) is the source of this 132-nucleotide non-coding RNA. Lineage: Eukaryota; Viridiplantae; Streptophyta; Magnoliopsida; Poales; Poaceae. The record is from Rfam.